This is a long non-coding RNA of Arachis duranensis, 1026 nucleotides long. RefSeq lists it as uncharacterized. The transcript is spliced from 6 exons. Lineage: Eukaryota; Viridiplantae; Streptophyta; Magnoliopsida; Fabales; Fabaceae. The record is from RefSeq and is a predicted model, not a curated record.
ACCGCAGCCCCCUACACAGACACAGCCUCCACCGCCACCGUAGAAGAUCUGUCGCCGUCGUAGGAAGCUGUGUUGCCGUGAUUGGAAGCUCCCUCGCUGUCGUUUGGAAGCUCGUUGGCCGUCUCCUCUGUUUGAGCGCUCUCCUUCUCUCUCUGUGUCGCCGUUGUGUUUCUGCCACUGCCCUUCUUCCUCGCAGCCGAACUUGCCAACUACUGUGUUCCUGCUGGUGAAGCUUACACAAAGACACUUGAGGUUGCCAGGAAUAUCAAUGAGAAGUUGGCAAUGAUUAGAGAAAGCAAUCUAAUAUAGUGAGGCUGGAAGCUCUCGGAAUAUCAUCAUUGUUGGGUUAUCAUUGUUUUUCUCUCUUUCCAUACCUGCCUACUUUCAACAAUAUGGUCUCUCUCCAUCCAACAUGUCAGUGCCGAAUUAUUUCCAGCCUUAUGUUGUGGCUUCUCAUGGACCUAUACAGAGCAAGAAUGGAGGGGUCUGGAGAAUGGGGAGAUCAUUUGACAUUGCAGGCAGCUGCUGAUAAGGUUUGCUAUGCAGAGGUAUUUGCUCUCAUUCCCUAAGAAUUGGAUCUCACUCAAUCUGACAAAUAACUUGUAUGCAUGUUUAUUUUUAUGCAUUCUGUGCAUGACCAUGAUUGAAGAGCAUGCAAGCAUCUCUCUUAAAUGAAAUUGCAAUUGCAUAUGCUCAGUCCAAUGUAAACAAAUCAAAGAAGAAGAACUAGAUGAACAAAUACUUUCAAGUUUCAGCCACACAAGAGUCUACCAUGGAGUAAAGAAUCAUGUAACUCAGAUUAGAUUGGAGAGUUUAAACUUUAAAGAGAGCAUGAGGAAAUAGUUUUAAAAUUUAGGCUGAAAGUCCUGCCCUUCUCUGUUGUAGUUUAAAAGAAAUUUUGGGGUAUUUUUUUAUCGAGACAAUGAGAUAUUGAAUAAUGGUGUUGAAAAAUAACAUCCAAUUUUAUAGGUAUCAUGUAAUGAAUAUUAUGUUUAUCUAUGUGAUUUUUGGCUUUCAUUUUUUCAA